AGAGUUUGAUCAUGGCUCAGAUUGAACGCUGGCGGCAGGCCUAACACAUGCAAGUCGAGCGGUAGAGAGAAGCUUGCUUCUCUUGAGAGCGGCGGACGGGUGAGUAAUGCCUAGGAAUCUGCCUGGUAGUGGGGGAUAACGUUCGGAAACGGACGCUAAUACCGCAUACGUCCUACGGGAGAAAGCAGGGGACCUUCGGGCCUUGCGCUAUCAGAUGAGCCUAGGUCGGAUUAGCUAGUUGGUGGGGUAAUGGCUCACCAAGGCGACGAUCCGUAACUGGUCUGAGAGGAUGAUCAGUCACACUGGAACUGAGACACGGUCCAGACUCCUACGGGAGGCAGCAGUGGGGAAUAUUGGACAAUGGGCGAAAGCCUGAUCCAGCCAUGCCGCGUGUGUGAAGAAGGUCUUCGGAUUGUAAAGCACUUUAAGUUGGGAAGGAAGGGUUGUAGAUUAAUACUCUGCAAUUUUUGACGUUACCGACAGAAUAAAGCACCGGCUAACUUUUGUGCCAGCAGCCGNGGUAAUACCAAAGGUGNCAGGCGUUAAUCGGAAUACCNGGCCUAANCCCCCUAGGNGGUANGUAAAUUGGUUUGGAAACCCCGGGUUAACUNGGAACUNNUUUNAAACUGC
This 630-nucleotide ribosomal RNA is filed under the name uncultured bacterium. RNAcentral's name for it is "bacterial SSU rRNA". It matches the Rfam family "Bacterial small subunit ribosomal RNA", at positions 8 to 636 of the family's 1533-position model. The record is from RNAcentral.